Molecule: ribosomal RNA, 194 nt
Filed under: Alcaligenes faecalis
Lineage: Bacteria; Pseudomonadati; Pseudomonadota; Betaproteobacteria; Burkholderiales; Alcaligenaceae
Description: partial 16S ribosomal RNA
Rfam family: Bacterial small subunit ribosomal RNA
Source: RNAcentral
CCUACGGGAGGCAGCAGUGGGGAAUUUUGGACAAUGGGGGAAACCCUGAUCCAGCCAUCCCGCGUGUAUGAUGAAGGCCUUCGGGUUGUAAAGUACUUUUGGCAGAGAAGAAAAGGUAUCCCCUAAUACGGGAUACUGCUGACGGUAUCUGCAGAAUAAGCACCGGCUAACUACGUGCCAGCAGCCGCGGUAAU